Molecule: ribosomal RNA, 404 nt
Filed under: uncultured bacterium
Lineage: Bacteria
Description: bacterial SSU rRNA
Rfam family: Bacterial small subunit ribosomal RNA
Source: RNAcentral
UGGGGAAUAUUGGACAAUGGGCGCAAGCCUGAUCCAGCCAUGCCGCGUGAGUGAUGACGGCCUUAGGGUUGUAAAGCUCUUUCACCCACGACGAUAAUGACGGUAGUGGGAGAAGAAGCCCCGGCUAACUUCGUGCCAGCAGCCGCGGUAAUACGAAGGGGGCUAGCGUUGUUCGGAUUUACUGGGCGUAAAGCGCACGCAGGCGGAUUUUUAAGUCAGAGGUAAAAUCCCGGGGCUCAACCCCGGAACGACCUUUGAUACUGAGGAUCUUGAGUCCGGAAGAGGUGAGUGGAAUUGCGAGUGUAGAGGUGAAAUUCGUAGAUAUUCGCAAGAACACCGGUGGCGAAGGCGGCUCACUGGUCCGGUACUGACGCUCAUGUGCGAAAGCGUGGGGAGCAAACAGG